UGUGAAUGACAAGAAUGCUGAUG
RNAcentral lists this non-coding RNA (23 nucleotides) under Mus musculus (house mouse). The record is from RNAcentral. Lineage: Eukaryota; Metazoa; Chordata; Mammalia; Rodentia; Muridae.